UUGCUAUUUAUUUUUGUUUUGGGGUCAAAUUUGCAUACAAUCAAAGGUUCAAUUCAACUAGGGUUAAAAAACCUUAUUAUCUAUAACUUUGGUAGAAUCAACCGAUUUCAAUUGGAUCAAACUAAAUAAAGAUGCAAAGCCUAUAUUGAUAUAUCUACUGUAACAUUCCCUUCAAAACAUCAGUUUCUACCCAGAAAGCAUAAUAAUAUGCAUUACCUGCAGAUAUUAGCUCUCUGUAGUCGAGCAAUGCGAUAAUAAAAAGAAAGUCUAUGAUCGCGUGAAGGUGGUGACUCUGGUGGCGAGAGCUGGAACCGAUUGAAGCGUGAAGGUUUUGAUGGAGUCGGACACGCAGGCCGCAGAGGAAAACUGGAGUCCUGCGCGUGGCGGCUGGAGUGUGGGAGAGAUGAAGUUUGAGGAAUUAGGGUUAGAAAGUUAGAGAUGGGAGGGACCGAAUGAGAUUUUAAAAUU
Molecule: long non-coding RNA, 468 nt
Filed under: Salvia miltiorrhiza (redroot sage)
Lineage: Eukaryota; Viridiplantae; Streptophyta; Magnoliopsida; Lamiales; Lamiaceae
Description: long non-coding RNA (SMIL_LNC005750)
Source: RNAcentral